This 76-nucleotide transfer RNA is filed under the name Chloroflexota bacterium. Its description in RNAcentral is "Chloroflexi bacterium (anaerobic digester metagenome) tRNA-Glu". It matches the Rfam family "tRNA". From Rfam's summary of the family: Transfer RNA (tRNA) molecules are approximately 80 nucleotides in length. Lineage: Bacteria; Bacillati; Chloroflexota. The record is from RNAcentral.
GCCCCCAUCGUCUAGAGGACCAGGACGUGGCCCUUUCAAGGCCAAGACUGGAGUUCGAAUCUCCAUGGGGGCACCA